CUGCGGAAGGAUCAUUAU
This 18-nucleotide non-coding RNA is filed under the name Mus musculus (house mouse). RNAcentral also lists the same sequence under 2 other names. Lineage: Eukaryota; Metazoa; Chordata; Mammalia; Rodentia; Muridae. The record is from RNAcentral.